RNAcentral lists this long non-coding RNA (2814 nucleotides) under Mus musculus (house mouse). Its description in RNAcentral is "Pvt1 oncogene". The stretch from base 44 to 200 matches the Rfam family "Pvt1 oncogene conserved region 1". Lineage: Eukaryota; Metazoa; Chordata; Mammalia; Rodentia; Muridae. The record is from RNAcentral.
ACCCGCCAGCCCCGCGCUCUACCAGGCAGAGCGCGUGUGGCCGCCGAGCACAUGGACCCACUGGUCAAGCGGGCUCGGCAAGGCCAGGAUGAAGAGAAGCUACGAACUUAGCAUUCCCAGAGCCCCCCGAGUGGAUAUCCGCGUGGAAAGGAUGUUGGCAGCCCCGGUGACCUCGGAGUCACGGCUGGAUCCACCCUCUUGUCUGAUUUUCUUAACUCUACUACGGUAAGAAGAUGCCCUCCAUCAGCAGGCCGUGUCUGCUGGGACCUCUCUGGAGACUUCCUGAACCCUGUGGAUUUACAGUAAGAUGCAGUUUCCUGGGGAGUAAUUCUGGUGGAUACAAAUUCCGGAGUAUUACACCUGGCUUGCCUGGAGAUGUUACAAGUAGCUGGAUGGAUUCUUCAGCCUGGAUGCCCACUGAAAACAAGGACCGAAACUAAGAGGAUUGUAUCUCUACCCUUGACUCAAUGAGAAUGUUUGUUGUCAUCUCUCGGGCUACCUGGAGCUCCCUCUAAAAUUAUACCCUUUAAGCGUUCCAGAAGGAUUUUGAGAUCCUUUCCUAAAUCAAAGGUGGAAUAUUUGGGGAUUUGGAAAAUUGAGCAUUUUUUUCCCCACUUGCUUGACUGUAAUGCUAACAUGCUCUCUCUGCUCCAACCUGGAGAAGCCAGUCUCUCAGAAGAACCAGUUGUGUUACUUUGCUGUGAGAUGCCUGCCCUAAGAGAGGAGCAGAAGGUCGGAACGGGUCCUCUAAUGUGAUAAUUAGAUGUGAAGCGUUGACUUAAGAGAUGCCAAGUAACUCAGCAGAUGUCACACAGACGAUAAAUAGCAAAGAUGGAAGUCUUCAUGCCGGAGGCAAUCCUAUAAGACAGCUGAGUUCUGCAGAGCUGGUAGGAGACAGACUUGCUCAGGUGAUAGAUCCAGCCAUGAUACUGACCCUAAGAGAAUGAGACGCUCUGCAGAAGACAGAAGAUUCCUGAAACUGGGAAAGGUGCCUAGAAAUCCUGAUAAGAGUGAAGAAGGCUCGGCUCUCCAGUGUGGUUUUCCAACAGGAGUCAAAUAUUAAAGGACAUGAGCGUGUUGGGGAAAAAGAUGGAUAGUGCUAAACAGCCUGAGUUCAUCCUCACUAUCCUCUUCAUAAGGAGAGCAAGAACAACCCCGGAAAUGGCUCAUGCUUAAGGUUUCUAACCACGGUCACACCUACAACACACUGAUUGACAAUAUAGGUUACAGUACACAUGGCUCUGCUAUUUGCUUUUUGGUCACUUUGAUAUUCCCUGGUACCUGGGAAGAAGGAAUCUCCGUUGAGGAGUUGCCUACAUUUGAUUAGCCCGUAGGCAUGUCUCUGAGGCCUUUUCAUAGUUGCUAAUUGAUGGAGGACAGCUUAGCCCACUGUGGGUGGUGCCAUCUCCUGGACAUGGGGUCCUGGCUUAUAUCAGAAGGGAAGCUAAGCAUGCGCCUGGGAGCAAGCCAGUAAGUAGGUCUCCUCCAUGGUCCCUGUCUCUGCUCCUGCCCUUAAUUUCCUCAGCGAAUGACUGAUGCAAACAUGUAAGCCAAACAAACCCUUCUUUCCUCUCUGUUACUGUUGGUCGUGGUGUUUAUCACAGCAAUAGGAAAAAACACUAGGGCAGUGACGUAUAAGAGUGCACUGUGCCAUUGUGAGGAUUCAAUAUCCUUAGCGAUCUUCAGAAAAAGUUUACUAUGGUGCCUGGAGCAUUGUUAUUUGCAGAGAUCCCUAGUGGCUCCUGGGCCUCAGUUUCCCUGUCUUCAUUCUGUCUGUAUUAUAUAAGCAUGGUGUCCAUAGCUCUAGCUCUUGCUUAAUGAUUCAACUGAGUAGGUACAACCAUGCUGACCAGCCAUGACAUGUCCUGCCUGGCCAUAGCCUGGAGUUGGACACAGAAACAGGGGCAUAGCUGCCUACUGUGUGUGGCACAGUGUGUGUCAAACUCCUGGAGGCAGCCAGGCAGCCAUCUCUAUAUUCUUCCUAUCAGAAUUCCUUUCACAGGUCCAAGCCAUCUUAAGAUGGAUAAAGGCCUGGCCUUCAGGCAAGGCUAUGCCUGUCAGUUCCGAAUCUCCAGCUAAGUGGACUUGCAGCCCUCCCUGUCCUCUGGAUGUCUGCAUCAUUCAUACAAGGGACACGUUCUCUUUAGAGAAGAGCGUCUUCUGGGCUUCUCCCAGGUUGGAAGUGUCCUCUACUUCUUUCUUCCUGGCAAAAGCACUGGCCUAAGCAGCUCAGGAACAACCUACAAUAGAGGGAGGGCCUCUUACCUCGGAUGGAAGUGGAAACAUAGUCUCCACGUUGGAACUGAGUCUUGGUUAUGCUCUGAGAAGUAGCCUGGAUUUCUAAGAUCUCAUGCUCAUCGUUUUCUCUGGAGGCCCAACUCUGUUCUCAUGAGCCCUGGCACGUUCCCUACCAGCAUCUUUGUUUCCUAUCUGAGGAGUGCGGAUGAUGCUUCUCCUGGUAAGGGGUAUGAAUAGAAUUCCUGCCUGUGUUCUAUGUGCUGAAUCCCAGAGCCUAGAGUAGGGCCUGGGCUCUGGCGAUUGACUGGUAAACACUUGUUUUGGAAGAGAUAGUAGAGUCUUUGGAGUUCCUGGCACAAUCUUCUUGGAUAGUUGCCUGUGCCCGUUCUAAACCAGGAUCUGACUAAUUACAACUCCUCCUGCUUGCAUUAAAGUUUUAUUGGAACAUGGCGGUGUUCACGGUUUUAUAUGAUGUCGUCGAGCUUCUUUGCUCCCGCACUGGUAAAUUUAAUAGUCAUGAGAGAGAUAUGGCCGUGAAGCCUAAAAUAAAAACUAUGUGGCACUUGGUUACAAAAA